RNAcentral lists this ribosomal RNA (446 nucleotides) under uncultured bacterium. RNAcentral describes it as "partial 16S ribosomal RNA". It matches the Rfam family "Bacterial small subunit ribosomal RNA", at positions 338 to 795 of the family's 1533-position model. The record is from RNAcentral.
CCUACGGGAGGCAGCAGUCGAGAAUCAUUCACAAUGGGGGAAACCCUGAUGGUGCGACGCCGCGUGGGGGAAUGAAGGUCUUCGGAUUGUAAACCCCUGUCAUGUGGGAGCAAAUUAAAAAGAUAGUACCACAAGAGGAAGAGACGGCUAACUCUGUGCCAGCAGCCGCUGUAAUACAGAGGUCUCAAGCGUUGUUCGGAAUCACUGGGCGUAAAGCGUGCGUAGGCUGUUUCGUAAGUCGUGUGUGAAAGGCGCGGGCUCAACCCGCGGACGGCACAUGAUACUGCGAGACUAGAGUAAUGGAGGGGGAACCGGAAUUCUCGGUGUAGCAGUGAAAUGCGUAGAUAUCGAGAGGAACACUCGUGGCGAAGGCGGGUUUCUGGACAUUAACUGACGCUGAGGCACGAAGGCCAGGGGAGCGAAAGGGAUUAGAUACCCCUGUAGUC